This 718-nucleotide long non-coding RNA is filed under the name Homo sapiens (human). Its description in RNAcentral is "long non-coding RNA NONHSAT166326.1". The record is from RNAcentral. Lineage: Eukaryota; Metazoa; Chordata; Mammalia; Primates; Hominidae.
UGGCAGCUUGACCUUCAACCCUCCAGGGUUUCUUUUUGACCUUUGCUUUCCUUCCAAACUUUCCCGCCUCUGGAAUAAAAGAGUCGCAGAACAGAGAAAGGCUUCAGGGAUGGGCUAUUGCCACAUUUCAGGGUCUGGCUUCAAUUUUGUAGGCCCAGGAAGUCAGUAGAUAAUAUAGAAUAAUUGAUCAAGCACCUAAGAAUGGCUGCUAAAAGAACUCACAAGAAUCUGAAGUGCCACACACCACGUGUUCCCAGCUCUAAGAGGCCUGUUUGUCCCCAUUUUACCACCUCUGGAUUCAGGACACGCCUGGCUGCAUUGUCUCCUUGUCUGCAUAGAAACUUGUGGGACAGAAGCCGCUGGCAGACGUUGGUGGGGACCCUCACAACGCCCCCAAUUCAGGCCCCUGAGGCCACAGGAAAGGAUGUGGCACAAGGAGGCCAACCAUGCAGUCCUGCUUGGAGCGGUGACUGGGAAGACAGACGUACCCUGAAGAAGCACAGAGGAAUCGAGACAGCUUUCUAGUUUGGGGGACAAUCUUGAUCUCUCUUAGCUGAAUGGGAGUCUUCGAUUCUAUGAAGGGCCAGACGCAUUGCUGGUGGGUGGGUUGGCACAGUCCACUGCAAGCCUUCACCAAUGGCACUGGUGCCGCCGCUGACGCAGGGAGGAGAGGGCUGCUCUGCGGAUUGACCGGUUGGAGGCAGGUGCAGGUUCCAGA